Long non-coding RNA from Orcinus orca (killer whale), 6637 nucleotides. RefSeq lists it as uncharacterized. The transcript has 5 exons. The record is from RefSeq and is a predicted model, not a curated record. NCBI's taxonomy places the organism in Eukaryota, Metazoa, Chordata, Mammalia, Artiodactyla, Delphinidae.
AAAAAACACGUUUUGGGGAAUCUUCUUUAUAAAAUUAUCAGAAGAGUAGAUCACUGCACUCUUCAUACCCUGCCUAUGAAACAAUACAAGUAUCAUAGGGAAAAGCCCCAUUAUGAGAAAGCAGUUAGAAUAACUGCACGUUAGGAGAGCUAGGUCACUGCUGGCCGAUCUGACGGUGAUUUGCAUCCGCUUCAGUACAGGGGAAAGGAAUGUUUGAUCUGACAGAAAGUGGAGGAGGAGGGCAGCCUCUCCACUUCGCAGGUCGCUGCUGGCUCCCCCGGGGAUUUACUGCUUCCUCCAAGGAGCUCCCACUGCAGCUGGAAUAGAGGCUUGUUUCUCCAGCUGUCUAACCUUCAGUGUUAUCUGUCUCUCUUUGACCUCUUAGUUUUAUAAUGAGUCAGUUUAUUUGUGUGUGCAAAUUGAGUUUUCUUAGAAAUAGAACAGAGCUAGAAAGAGGCCCAUGUUUUAGUCGUUUCCUCUGAAGAAGGAGAAGCAGCCAGGGGACCUGGCACCGCAGAAGGUGCUUGUGCUCUGACAGCCCCUGUUGUUGGUGUCUUUUAACACCGUGGAGUGAAGUCUAGUGGUCAGAGGAAGAUUGUCUCCCUGUGGGAGGUGGAAAUAUCCUCAGGGUUUACCAGCUAAUUACUUCUGGAGGCCCUAGGAGCUCAGAGAAUUUGCUUAGCAACUGGCCUGACCGGUCCCCCGACCCCUGCUGUCCCCUGACAUUACCCGACUUACCAGCGGGGCUGAUGGAGCAGUUUGGGAACCAAACACGAUCCAGCAUUUUUGUGAAAAUGGUGCCAAUCUUUUCCUCGAUGGGACCUGAGCCUGUAACCCAGUCCAACAAAACGAGGGAGAGGAAGCCAAAAAAAACUUUUUUGAGAAACAACACAGGCAGUAGGAAAUCAUACUGGUCAGGGCUUGUUUUCCUGACUCAGGGCCUCAUUCCAACCUGUUGCAAUCAGCUCUCCGAGUGUCUAUAGGGACACCCUGGCGCAGGGGCCCCUCGGAGGAGAGGAACUUUUUACAUUUGUGUUUGACUGGGCUCCUUGCCAGGGGCUAAGUUCAAAGUGCAGUUUCCAGUAAUUUGCUGGGACUUCUCUGUGGGUUUGAUAGGCCAGGACAGAAGCCUGCAAGCUGAAGUAAUAUUUCCUGAUUUCUGUCAUUUCUUAAGAAGAGAAGGAAGCCAUAACAUGAGGACAACAGCGAUACCAAUCUCAGAAGGUUUUUGUGAGAAUUAAGUAAAAGUGGCAACAUAAUAUGGAAAGAGUCCCUGGCACACAUCCGUGUAAUCUUGAUGCCGAAGAAACUUCAGUAAUGAGAACAGCUGACUUUAUCUGCACUCAUUGGAUAAAAGUUCUUUUCUGGUGGCCGAUCAGAACAUAUCAAAAAGUAGAAAUGAUUGGAAAGGUUUUUCGGAUGCCCCUCGCCUCUCCCUGCGUGUCCUCAAGGCGGCAUCUUGGUAAGAGGCUGUUUUAUGGAACGUGGCAGGAUCCGUCACCAUUCUCCGGAUCCUUAUUGGUCUGUGUUGCAAGGGUCUGAUGAGGGAAGAAAACGUUGUGCUGAGGAAAGAUGAGAUUGCAGCUCAGCACCAAGAUUGCAGCUCAGCACCAAGAUUGCAGCUCAGCUCUAAGAUUGCACCUCAGCUCUAAGACUGCAGCUGAGCUCUAAGAUUGCAGCUCAGCACCAAGAGUGCAGCUCAGCACUAAGAUUGCAGCUCAGCACCAAGAUUGCAGCUCAGCACCAAGACUGCAGCUCAGCUCUAAGACUGCAGCUCAGCACCAAGACUGCAGCUCAGCACCAAGAUUGCAGCUCAGCUCUAAGACUGCAGCUCAGCACCAAGACUGCAGCUCAGCACCAAGAUUGCAGCUCAGCACUAAGAUUGCAGCUCAGCACCAAGAUUGCAGCUCAGCUCUAAGACUGCAGCUCAGCACUAAGAGUGCAGCUCAGCUCUAAGACUGCAGCUGAGCUCUAAGAUUGCAGCUCAGCUCUAAGACUGCAGCUCAGCAUCAAGAUUGCAGCUCAGCUCUAAGACUGCAGCUCAGCACCAAGACUGCAGCUCAGCACUAAGACUGCAGCUCAGCACCAAGAUUGCAGCUCAGCUCUAAGACUGCAGCUCAGCACCAAGAGUGCAGCUCAGCUCUAAGACUGCAGCUCAGCACCAAGAUUGCAGCUCAGCACCAAGACUGGAGCUCAGCACCAAGAGUGCAGCUCAGCACCAAGACUGCAGCUCAGCACCAAGAUUGCAGCUCAGCACCAAGAUUGCAGCUCAGCUCUAAGACUGCAGCUCAGCACUAAGAUUGCUGCUCAGCACCAAGAUUGCAGCUCAGCACUAAGAUUGCAGCUCAGCACUAAGACUGCAGCUCAGCACCAAGAUUGCAGCUCAGCACCAAGAUUGCAGCUCAGCUCUAAGACUGCAGCUCAGCACCAAGACUGCAGCUCAGCUCUAAGACUGCAGCUCAGCACCAAGAUUGCAGCUCAGCUCUAAGACUGCAGCUCAGCACCAAGAUUGCAGCUCAGCUCUAAGACUGCAGCUCAGCUCUAAGAUUGCAGCUCAGCACCAAGAGUGCAGCUCAGCACCAAGAGUGCAGCUCAGCACUAAGAUUGCAGCUCAGCACUAAGAUUGCAACUCAGCACCAAGAUUGCAGCUCAGCUCUAAGACUGCAGCUCAGCUCUAAGACUGCAACUCAGCUCUAAGAUUGCAGCUCAGCUCUAAGACUGCAGCUCAGCACUAAGAUUGCAGCUCAGCUCUAAGAUUGCAGCUCACCACCAAGAUUGCAGCUCAGCUCUAAGAUUGCAGCUCAGCACUAAGAUUGCAGCUCAGCACCAAGAUUGCAGCUCAGCACCAAGAUUGCAGCUCAGCACCAAGAUUGCAGCUCAGUUCUAAGAUGUAAGAUGCACACAGUGAGUGAAUCUCUGGGUGCAUGCACCAUAGCGUUUGGUUGCCUUUUUAACUUCAAGCAUGGAAAUGUAUUUGAGGUAUUUAUUUAUUUUAUUUUAUUUGGCCAGGGAAUUUGUGUUAUAAAAUUAUUAUAAACUUAUUUAAUUAUUGUAAAUUAUUGUGUUAGCAAAAUUAUUUACCCCCAUGUCAACUGAUCGCUCAAAAAUGAAUUAAGCUUGUAAUAUUUCUUGGCGCUCUUUUAUGCUGUAGCCCUAGAAACUGAGAACUUCUCAAGGCUUUGAGAAAGUUAUACUUGAUACAACAGAGCAACAUACAGUGCUAGUGUCAGCAUAAUUUCUGGAACUCCUUCCUACAAUACCAAAGAAUUUAAAAGUAUGUUUACUUUGUAAGUGCUAAAAAUAGUGUCUAAAACAUGGAUAGCAGUUAUUCAUUGAUGUUAUUAUGAGAAAUAAUAAAAUGCAUAGGAAAACAAGAUAUUUACAAUGUAUAUUUACUUAAUGUUCAGUACAUGUAAGCCUGAACUCACUCUCUAGCACAGGAGUUUUAGUAUGUUCCAGGAGGUAUGUCUCUCCUGUUGAAAGGCUGUCUUCCCCAGACACCACUUCCUUGGAAAGAGGUUUUGUGUGUGAUAAUAUGGUAGUGGAUCAGAGUAUUAGCCGCCUUUGCUAUGGUGUGACCACCACUCUUUUAAACAUUUCUCUGCCCAACUUAAUGUGCAUCAGGGUUGGGGAAAGAGGUGGCAGUCAUAGGUUAUCAUAAAUAUUAGAGAGAGAUUGAUCUUUCACAGUGAAGUAUUGUUAGUCUUUUUUUUUUUUUUUUUUUUUUUGUGGUACGCGGGCCUCUCACUGUUGUGGCCUCUCCCGUUGCGGAGCACAGGCUCCCGUACGCGCAGGCUCAGCGGCCAUGGCUCUCGGGCCUAGCCGCUCCGCGGCAUGUGGGAUCUUCCCAGACUGGGGCAGGAACCCGCGUGCCCUGCAUCGGCAGGCGGACUCUCAACCACUGCGCCACCAGGGAAGCCCCGUAUUGUUAGUCUUGAAUGUGUGGCUGAAGGAAGUUGUAGGACUUCUAGCCUCUUCUCCUAGGUCUUCAUUCUGCUCAGGAUGGUCAAUGUCUGUUGUGGAAUAUCCUCUAAACUGGAGAAAGGCUUAAUGACCUUUUGUAGUUCUUAAUUCAGUUCUUUCUAUGUCACCAAGUUGUCAAGGAGCAACUUUACCAUGAUGUCUAAACUUUUCAAUUUUUAAAGUAUAAAUAGUCAUAGUAAGUUAAUAGUAAGAGAUUUUAGAAAAAAAAAUAAGUUAAGAAAAAUGAGUAGAAUUUUGCAAAGUAGUUUAGCUGGGUCAAGGUUUAUAAAAUCCACAUUGUGGGUUCUUAGGGAGUAUUAAACAAUGUUGGAUAAUAGAAUGGACCUCCAUCUAGUUUGGAAUGCUAAUGAAAGAAACUGAUGUUUAUUGGUUGCCUGCUAUGAACCAGGAACCUUGCAGGGUCCUUAUAUGUACUUGUGUAUUUAAUCCCUUGAGGUGGUCUUACUACGUCUAUUUUAAAGAUGCAGUAACUGAGAUCUGUAAAACUUUAACCAAGUUUCCCAGGUCACACAAGUAGUAAGUGGCAAGCCAAUCUUUCGUGAAAACCCAUGCCUACAGUCUGUUUUUCUAGAAUUCCUAGGUCUGAGCUGCUAGUGAAAUAGAUGAAUCUGGUAAAUUUAUAGCCUUAGAUAUUUAAGUAAAUUCCCUAUGGGUGCAAUUAUAAAGCAGCAUUCCACUCAACACAGAUAUUUACAUACUCCUUCCCAUCUGCCUCUCCUCUAAUCAGUCAACUAGCCUGGUCCUGGGAUUCCUCCUCCAUGAAGUAUGUUAGAUUGAUCUUCUCCUCUCUAUUGCAAAAGCUAAAAUGCUAUUCAGGCCCUUCAAACGUAUCACUUGAAUGGUUAACUGGUAAAUUAAUAUACUGAACCACCACUUCCCUUAAGUCAUCCAGUGUCUCCCGGUUGCCAGCAAAUAGGUCAAAACUCCUAAGGACGGCAUUGAAGGAUUAUAUAAUCUGUCUCCAGAUUGCCUUUUCAGAAUCCUCUACCACCACCCCUAUAUCAGGACCUGGAUCCAGUGUUGCCAAGUGGUCUCCCUACAUCUCUACCUGGGCGUGACGCUGUUUCUCCUGCCUGUUCACAGCUUAAUAAACUUGACCAUUCUGACUCCAGUUCAGAUCCUAGUUCUUUUCUAAAGCUGCCGUAUUUCUGAGGUCUAGAGUUCUUUCUUACUUAGGCCACCUCUUGUUAAACCAAUCAUUUGGCCAUUACCACUUACUGCGAGGCACUGAGAAGAGAACCGGUUUGACUAUGACCCUUUUACUUAUUGUCUGUGUGACCUUUGGCAGGCCAUUUAAUAUGUAAGACUCAGUUUCCUUAAAUACGAAAUGGGUUAUGGUUCGGAACUAUCCCCAUUUGACCUCCCAUGGGGAAACUUCUUUUCUUUAUGGCUCAGUUCCUAAAGUUGUAACAUGGAGAUAAUAAGAGUAACUAACAGAAUUGGUGUGACAAUUAACUGUGCAUUAAUCAGGAUGAGUGAGGUUAUUUUACCGGAAAAACCAAACCCAAAUCUUAGUGUCUUUUGUUUUUUUAAAAAAAAUUUAUUUAUUUUUGGCUGAGUUGCGUCUUUGUUGCUACGCACAGGCUUUCUCUACUUGUGGCGAGUGGGGGCUACUCUUCGCUGCAGUGCACAGGUUUCUUAUUGCGGUGGCCUCUCUUGUUGCGGAGCCGGGCUCUAGGCGUGCGGGCUUCAGUAGUUGUGGCACGAGGGCUCAGUAGUUGUGGCACGAGGGCUCAGUACUUGUGGUCGCGAGCUCUAGAGCACGGGCUCUAGAACGCAGGCUCAGUAGUUGUGGCGCAUGGGCUUCGAUGCUCCACGUAAGUGGGAUCUUCCCAGACCAGGGCUCAAACCCAUGUCCCCUGCAUCGGCAGGGAGAUUCUUAACCACUGCGCCACCAGGGAAGCCCAAUCUUAGUGUUUUAAAACCACAAAAUUUUAUUUCUUGCUCACACUCCGUGUCCAUAUCAGGCUGGCAGGAACUCUGCUCUACAAUGUUCAUAUUCAGGGACCUUGAAUGUUCAUAUUGCUGGAACUGUCACUAACUGGAAUAGCACAGUCAAUGUGGCAAGAGGAAGGGGAUGGAGUGAGCUGUGCAUUAGUUCUUAGAGCUGCUGCUCAGAAGUGAUAUGCAUUUCAAUAGCCAAAGCAAAUCUCAUGCCCCAGCUAACUUCAAAGAGGCAGGGAGGAACAAUCCCACCAAGUGCUCAGAAGAACGAGGCCCAGAGUCAUCUGGGAAUGGCACUAAUCAUGGUCUUACCUUGUGUCAUGGGGCCAUUUUCUCAUGGUACAGUUCAUGUUUUAUCUGCCCUUCUAUGACAUAGCCUCCUUGGUUUCAGAAUGAGGGCUGUGUUUUCUGCCCUCCUUUCCCUACAAUGAUCAGCAUAGAUCCUCAGUACAUGUUUCACUGAAUAGAGGACUACGCCAAGUGGUUUCUCCCCAAUGCUAGGGAGCAUUUUAGGUUUUAAGUCCCAGGAUUUGCUUUUAUAUGACGAAAAGUCUUAGGUAGAAUGACUUCCCUGGUGGCGCAGUGGUUAAGACUCCACGUUCCCAAUGCAGGCGGCCCAGGUUCGAUCCCUGGUCAGGGAACUAGAUCCCACGUGCAUGCUGCAACUGAGUUCGCAUGCCACAACAAGGAGCCUGCGUGCUUCAACUAA